UUCUACAAUUUGUGUUGGAUAUAUGUAUUAUGUUUAUUUUAUUUUUUUAUAUUUGUAUUUUUUUUUUAUUUUAGCAUACUGCCCCUAAUGGUUUUGAUGUUCCAGAAACACCUACCUUUCAAAAUCCAGAUAUUUUAAAUGUGUGUUUAUAAUGGUUUACAUAAAUAUUUUUGUAACAUUAAACUCCUUUUAACAACGUGACUCUGCUCAGUCCUCUUUAGAAUGACAUGCUGGCUUUGAGGAAGUGCUGGUGUAGAAUGUUACUUGAGAACUCCAGCCCCAAGGGGUUUAGACUUUAUUAAGCCAUUAAUGAGAAGACAGAGUAAAGACUUGCACUACAUCUGAAAUGAAAAAUGAAUGUCUUGCUAUUCUGUUCCAUAGCACUGCAUUCUGCAGGUUUGAGAUCUUUACAUUUAGAAGAAACGUCAGCCUCCCUUCUCCAAUAUCCAGCACAGGGCACUGAUGAGCAGCAACACAGAAACCUUCAGCAUCUUACCGAGGCAGAGAAGUGGUGCGCUGAGAACAUUUCUGUGUUCAGGGGGCACAUCUCACUCCCUGCAUUACUGUCAAUGGACAAAGACGACAUUGAGGAGGCCCUUCAGAAAUUUCAGUUGCUAUCUGAGUUUCCAGAAGAAGACGAGAGGUCUUUAGACCCUUCAUCAUCCUUUUUUCAGAUAUGGAAGACAUGCAUCUGUUUUUAGAUAACGUGAGAGGAAAAAGUAAAAUGACU
Erpetoichthys calabaricus (reedfish) is the source of this 730-nucleotide long non-coding RNA. RefSeq lists it as uncharacterized. NCBI's taxonomy places the organism in Eukaryota, Metazoa, Chordata, Cladistia, Polypteriformes, Polypteridae. The record is from RefSeq and is a predicted model, not a curated record. The transcript has 3 exons.